ACCAAAAGGUCUCUAAAAUUCGAGACUAAAAUUAGAAUUAUAAUUAUAUUAAGGUGUUUCAGAACUAGCCUACCAAGGCUUGGUUGAGAGAGCGUGUUAGUAUUAGGCUCAGCUCGAUUGUAGACUUGAUUCUUCUAGAUUUACUAUACCAUAUUCAAAUAAGAUGUCACAUCUGUUCUUAUAGAAUAGCUUUAGAGUUAGUCCAUAUUUUAUCUCUUAUGUUACUAUAAUAUUAUAAGAAAUAUCUACUAUACCCCCAUAAAGCUUGUACAUAAGUCACACUUAUAUGAUUUGAUUCACCA
RNAcentral lists this long non-coding RNA (302 nucleotides) under Elaeis guineensis (African oil palm). RNAcentral's name for it is "long non-coding RNA (EGUI_LNC008521)". The record is from RNAcentral. Lineage: Eukaryota; Viridiplantae; Streptophyta; Magnoliopsida; Arecales; Arecaceae.